GGGUCAGUAGGUUGGUCGUGCCACCGGUACGUACUGGUCUCACUGAUUCCUCCUUCCGGAAGAGCCGUAAUGCCAUUAAUUUGGUGUUGCGUGGAAACAGGACUGUUACUUUGAAAAAAUUAGAGUGUUUAAAGCAAGCUAACGCUUGAAUACAUUAGCAUGGAAUAAUGAAAUAGGACGAUCGAUCCUAUUUUGUUGGUUUCUAGGAUUGACGUA
RNAcentral lists this ribosomal RNA (216 nucleotides) under Glomeromycotina sp. RNAcentral describes it as "partial small subunit ribosomal RNA". The stretch from base 87 to 216 matches the Rfam family "Eukaryotic small subunit ribosomal RNA", at positions 733 to 864 of the family's 1831-position model. The record is from RNAcentral. Lineage: Eukaryota; Fungi; Glomeromycota.